This 465-nucleotide ribosomal RNA is filed under the name uncultured bacterium. RNAcentral describes it as "partial 16S ribosomal RNA". It matches the Rfam family "Bacterial small subunit ribosomal RNA", at positions 28 to 507 of the family's 1533-position model. The record is from RNAcentral.
GACGAACGCUGGCGGCGUGCUUAACACAUGCAAGUCGUACGGUAAGGCCCUUUCGGGGGUACACGAGUGGCGAACGGGUGAGUAACACGUGAGUAACCUGCCCACAACUUUGGGAUAACGCUAGGAAACUGGUGCUAAUACUGGAUAUGUGCUCCUGCUGCAUGGUGGGGGUUGGAAAGCUCCGGCGGUUGUGGAUGGACUCGCGGCCUAUCAGCUUGUUGGUGGGGUAGUGGCCUACCAAGGCGGCGACGGGUAGCCGGCCUGAGAGGGUGACCGGCCACAGUGGGACUGAGAUACGGCCCAGACUCCUACGGGAGGCAGCAGUGGGGAAUAUUGCACAAUGGGCGCAAGCCUGAUGCAGCAACGCCGCGGGCGGGAGGACGGCCUUCGGGUUGUAAACCGCUUUCAGCAGGGACGAAGCUUUUUGUGACGGUACCUGCAGAAGAAGCACCGGCUAACUACGUG